UCCGUAGGUGGUUUGGAUAGUCGGGUGUGAAAUCCCACAGCUCAACUGUGGAACUGCACUCGAAACUUCCAGACUAGAGUACGAGAGGGGUAAAGGGAAUUCCCGGUGUAAGGGUGAAAUCUGCAGAGAUCGGGAGGAACACCAGUCGCGAAGGCGCUUUACUGGCUCGUUACUGACACUGAGGGACGAAAGCUAGGGUAGCAAACAGGAUUAGAUACCCUGGUAGUCC
RNAcentral lists this ribosomal RNA (229 nucleotides) under uncultured bacterium. RNAcentral describes it as "partial 16S ribosomal RNA". It matches the Rfam family "Bacterial small subunit ribosomal RNA", at positions 568 to 796 of the family's 1533-position model. The record is from RNAcentral.